UACGAGUAUACCUUGGUUACGU
RNAcentral lists this microRNA (22 nucleotides) under Monodelphis domestica (gray short-tailed opossum). RNAcentral's name for it is "mdo-miR-7392-5p". Lineage: Eukaryota; Metazoa; Chordata; Mammalia; Didelphimorphia; Didelphidae. The record is from miRBase by way of RNAcentral.